CGCAUCUGUGCAUGCAGCAUAUCAAUAAGCGGAGGAAAAGGGAAUCGGUCGCCCCAGUACCUACGCUUAGGAUGUUGACACACGCGCGUGCUCGACUCUAUACAUGACUCUGUGCAUAUCAAUAAGCGGAGGAAAAGAAACUAACAAGGAUUCCCUUAGUAACGGCGAGUGAAGCGGGAAGAGCUCAAAUUUGAAAUCUUCAAGGUUUUACCUUGACGAAUUGUAGUUUAAAGAAGUGUUUUCUGUUGAAGUUUUGGUAAAAGUUCUUUGGAAUAGGACAUCAUAGAGGGUGAGAAUCCCGUAUUUGACCAUUAUUUUCAGCUGUGUGAUACACUUUCAAAGAGUCGGAUUGUUUGGGAAUGCAGUCCAAAAUGGGUGGUAAAUUUCAUCUAAAGCUAAAUAUUGGCGAGAGACCGAUAGCGAACAAGUACCGUGAGGGAAAGAUGAAAAGAACUUUGAAAAGAGAGUUAAACAGUACGUGAAAUUGUCAAAAGGGAAGCGUUUGACACCAGUGUUGUUUUCUCGAAAAUCAAUUAAAAAGAGUUUGAUUUUGUUGUGUAUUGACCUUAACAGCUUGCAUUUCAAUUUUCUUGCUUUUUUUAAUGCACUUUUCGUUUAACAAGUCAACAUCAGUUUCUUUUGUUGUAAAAAGGUCAUUGGAAGGUGGCUUUCUUUUCGGAGAAAGUGUUUAUAGCCUUUGACUCCUGCAAUCGGAGAGACUGAGGUCUGCAGCGUAGAUCCUUCGGGGUUAGAUACAUUUGUGCUAAGUUAUAGCUUUUUAUAGACAACUUGUUGACUAUGAUUAGUCUUGUAGCUUACUCGCUUAUGCUAUUUUACCUACGCUUAGGAUGUUGACACACGCGCGUGCUCG
RNAcentral lists this ribosomal RNA (871 nucleotides) under uncultured Neocallimastigales. RNAcentral's name for it is "partial large subunit ribosomal RNA". It matches the Rfam family "Eukaryotic large subunit ribosomal RNA", at positions 1 to 643 of the family's 3401-position model. The record is from RNAcentral. Lineage: Eukaryota; Fungi; Neocallimastigomycota; Neocallimastigomycetes; Neocallimastigales.